GAUGAACGCUAGCGGCAGGCUUAAUACAUGCAAGUCGUGGGGCAGCAUGAGUAGCAAUACUUGAUGGCGACCGGCAAACGGGUGCGGAACACGUACACAACCUUCCUUCAAGCGGGGAAUAGCCCAGAGAAAUUUGGAUUAAUACCCCAUAAAAUAUAAAAAUGGCAAUCAUUUAUAUAUUAAAGCUUCGGCACUUGAUGAUGGGUGUGCGGCUGAUUAGAUAGUUGGCGAGGUAACGGCUCACCAAGUCUACGAUCAGUAGCUGAUGUGAGAGCAUGAUCAGCCACACGGGCACUGAGACACGGGCCCGACUCCUACGGGAGGCAGCAGAAGGAAUAUUGGACAAUGGACGAAAGUCUGAUCCAGCCAUGCCGCGUGAAGGAUUAAGGUCCUCUGGAUUGUAAACUUCUUUAUA
This 415-nucleotide ribosomal RNA is filed under the name uncultured bacterium. Its description in RNAcentral is "bacterial SSU rRNA". It matches the Rfam family "Bacterial small subunit ribosomal RNA", at positions 28 to 439 of the family's 1533-position model. The record is from RNAcentral.